GGAUCUGGGUUUCAAUAAUUUUACUGGGGAGAUACCAUCAUCUUUUUUCCUACUAAUUCCUGCAGAAUACAUUAUUCUGACAGAAAAUAAGCUUACUGGACCUAUGCCUAGAUGGGUGUUGUCAAGCCCCAGGAACGUGGAUGUUUCAUACAAUAAUUUUACAUGGGAUGAUGCUACUGCUCCAAAAAAGUGCGACCAGAAUGUAGUGUAA
Molecule: long non-coding RNA, 211 nt
Filed under: Helianthus annuus (common sunflower)
Lineage: Eukaryota; Viridiplantae; Streptophyta; Magnoliopsida; Asterales; Asteraceae
Description: hypothetical non coding rna
Source: RNAcentral